GCCUUGGCUGGCCAUGUGCACCUCAUUCCAUGCCAUUCCAACCGUCGCUGUGCUCCCAGGCUUAUGUAAUAAGAACCAGUUUUCCCACUUCAUGAUUUUGCAGCUUAAUGGGAUGGAUAUGGAAGAGAAUAAUUUAGCUUCUAGACAGGCAUAAUCACAGACGUACACAGAGGCUGGAAGACAGUGCACACCAUUGAGAUACGUGUCUCAUCUAGUCCACCACAUGCAGCCAGAACCAGGCCCCACCACCUGGGUGUCCCUUGUGUCCUGUCCUCCUCCCUUUUCUCUCUGGUCCCCACAUUCCUUCCAGAGUUUCUUAUACAUGGAUCGCUCCCAGGCUCCCUUCCAUUGGGGGCCAGAGGUUCUCACAGAGCACAAAGAAGGAGACCAUUGGCCCCUGGGACCAUCAGGGGAAUGAUCUAGAAGUCAAGCAAAAGUUCUAGCCCUUCAGGGUCUUCAAGGGAGAUUACAGGGGAAGAAGGCUGAGGUAGAGAGCAGGGCCUCUAUACAUUUAAGCUCAUAGAGAUACAAAGCAUAUGAAUAUAUGGGAAUUCAGAAAAGUUCUGUCCAACAGAAAUGUAAUCAGAACUGUCAGCCUGUGGAGUUGUUUCCCCAAGAGAGUUUGGAGUUAGAAAGAGAUUGGCCUCUUCCUGUCACAUGUGACACUGGGACCACUCACUCUCGUCAAGAGAAACAUGACACUUCUCACAAGGGUGUAGACUAGCUCCCCACGAUAAUCAUGCAAUAGCCCUAACAUCAAUUCAUGCACUGAGGUGUUCGUGAAUUAAUAUUAAAUAAUAUUACAGAAUGGACAGCAAGGGAAUUCAAUUCCUUCUUAUAUCACCCUGAGAGUGGAGCCUACAAAUCCUCCUGAGUCUUUGAGAUUCUCUGUUCCUGUUAUCCUUGAACAAGAAAAUGUGCACAUGCACACACACACACGCACACACACACCACUAAUUUCCCUGAAAGCACAAGAAUAAGCAAUAAUAGAUAUGCACAGACAAAAUGAAGUGAUGGGGAUUUUAUUUACCUUCCUCCCUGAAACAAUCAAAACACAGACAAAAUAUGUGAUAUAAUGUUUUCAAGUCACUGGACAUCAAACAAUGAAGGGCAGUGAACCCUUUGAGAUAGCAAAUGAACGAUAAUGAGGCCUCCAAUUGCUCAGCCUGUCUUCCUUGAUAGUGUUUCCAGGCUCCUGUUCAGAAAAGGGGGAACCUAGGCAGAGUUCAGUGGAGUCCCUGAGUUGGGGAGACACAACUGAGAGUAUAGAAAAAUCCCAGAGGCAGGAGCUCACAGGACAGAAUGCCAGCAAGGAGUGUGCUGCACAGGAAGAAUGACCGGGAGGCAUACAGAGGGUGUGGAGGGUCACCACUGAGGGUUCCAGUGAGUACUUAUGAUCACAUGAAAACCUCCCAAGUUUGGGGAAGGAACUACCCAAAAAGACUGGAAGUAACUAGAGCUGACCAAGGCCUGAGAACAGCGCCUGUUUCUAUUAGCCAGACUGAAGAACUUCAUGAUUCACAGGACUUUUGGUUUGAAUACGCAGAAAGCCUUCCCUUAAUCAGUGGAGAAUAAGUAGAAAUAGACUCAGCAUUGUUAUGGUCCUACCUAGAAAAUCUUAAAAGCCAGACUCAAAAGGAUCAAUUUAUUUCCAGUAACUUAAUUGCAUCCCAGAAUAAAGCUCAAUAAUAUUGAAAGGACUACAGCAACUUUUAGUACCCAACACCAGGCAUUCAGGGAAGCAGAAGAGUAUAACCCUUAAUGGAGAGAUCCAAUAAGCUCAGAGAACCUUAAGUAUAAGAAGAUGUGAAGAAAAUUACACGGAAGCACAUACUAACCAAAUUGGCUAAAACCAAUGACUAAGAGAACAUCUUAAAAGCAGUCAUACAAAAAAGACAAAAGGAAAAGACAGACAAAAUAAAGAGGAGGGAAGAUAAGGGUGACAGCAGAUUUCUCAGAAGAAACAAUGUAAGUGAGAAGCCAUUGGAGCUGCAUUUUAAAAGUACUGAAAGAAAAAAAUUGCCAAUCUUGAAUUCUGUUCCCAGUGAAAAUAUUUUUCGAAAACAAAGGUGAAUAAAGACUUUUUUCAGAUUGGAAAAGCAAUUCCAUCAAGUGAAUAUAUUAUAAUUUUUCUAUU
RNAcentral lists this non-coding RNA (2137 nucleotides) under Pongo abelii (Sumatran orangutan). The record is from RNAcentral. Lineage: Eukaryota; Metazoa; Chordata; Mammalia; Primates; Hominidae.